UGAUUUUAAAAUUUGAUAAAACAGCCAAGC
RNAcentral lists this non-coding RNA (30 nucleotides) under Mus musculus (house mouse). The record is from RNAcentral. Lineage: Eukaryota; Metazoa; Chordata; Mammalia; Rodentia; Muridae.